Molecule: ribosomal RNA, 497 nt
Filed under: uncultured bacterium
Lineage: Bacteria
Description: partial 16S ribosomal RNA
Rfam family: Bacterial small subunit ribosomal RNA
Source: RNAcentral
GAUGAACGCUGGCGGCGUGCCUAAUACAUGCAAGUCGAGCGAACAGACGAGGAGCUUGCUCCUCUGACGUUAGCGGCGGACGGGUGAGUAACACGUGGAUAACCUACCUAUAAGACUGGGAUAACUUCGGGAAACCGGAGCUAAUACCGGAUAAUAUAUUGAACCGCAUGGUUCAAUAGUGAAAGACGGUUUUGCUGUCACUUAUAGCUGGAUCCGCGCCGCAUUAGCUAGUUGGUAAGGUAACGGCUUACCAAGGCAACGAUGCGUAGCCGACCUGAGAGAGUGAUCGGCCACACGGGAACUGAGACACGGUCCAGACUCCUACGGGAGGCAGCAGUAGGGAAUCUUCCGCAAUGGGCGAAAGCCUGACGGAGCAACGCCGCGUGAGUGAUGAAGGUCUUCGGAUCGUAAAACUCUGUUAUUAGGGAAGAACAAAUGUGUAAGUAACUAUGCACGUCUUGACGGUACCUAAUCAGAAAGCCACGGCUAACUACGUG